AAAAAAAUGCUGCAAAAAUGACCUUUGCAUGUCAUUUCAUUGGUUGGUUUGCUGUAAGGUUUCUGUCCCAUAGAUGUUAACUACUUUCCUAAAUGUUUACACAUUUUAACAAAUGGAUUACAUUUGCUUGUGUCUGAUGAAAAACAGAGCUAAGAAUUGUUAGCUAACAAUGAAAUACUUCAAUAGUUAUUUGGACCAUCAGGGCAAGUAACUUUUUUCCGGACAGUGAAAUUUACAGUUUUACUUGCCCAGGGACAAGUGCCCACAGCAAAUAUUUCCACAACUCUG
Molecule: long non-coding RNA, 288 nt
Filed under: Mytilus galloprovincialis (Mediterranean mussel)
Lineage: Eukaryota; Metazoa; Mollusca; Bivalvia; Mytilida; Mytilidae
Source: RNAcentral